This 2889-nucleotide ribosomal RNA is filed under the name Triticum aestivum (bread wheat). Its description in RNAcentral is "partial small subunit ribosomal RNA". Lineage: Eukaryota; Viridiplantae; Streptophyta; Magnoliopsida; Poales; Poaceae. The record is from RNAcentral.
GAGGUCAGCGCGGUGGGCGGCCGCUGGUUGUAGCGGGUAGCGGACGGAGGCAGCACGUGCCCUGACCUAUACGGGGGGGCCGUGGAGAAGGAGGGGACGGGGGCGCGUACCUUCGAUCACUGACGGCGGUAAGCUACGAGACGAGGUAGUUGAAGUUGGUGGCCGAGUACUCCACGUGCAGUACACAAACGAUUUAACUGAGUCACGUCACCUCGUGGUAAAAAUGAAACAAAGUACAAGUAAACAUCCAUCGAGCAAGAACGGUUUACAACAUCGAAUCUACUGAAGCUUUACAAAUAGCACACACACGAUGACAGCGCACGAUCAGGCUCUUAAGGAUAGCAGUGUAUUCAGGUACAUAACGAUGGUACCCUCAAGUUUCUUUAAGGAGAUUGUGCGUGGCACGGGGCCGGGGUACAAGGCCGUAGCGGGAGGUGUCGGAGUCACACGUCCGGCAAGUGGAGACGGUGGGUCCGGUAAGUGGAGACGGUGGCUACAGGCAAGUUACGGUGGUCCUCUUGGGACACGCAGUUGUGGGGACAGUUGGGGCACGCUGAAACAAGAGAGUCGAAUUUUUUCCCAAUCAAGUCUUGAAACUUGUGGGUCUCCAAGUCAAGUCUUGAACCGGACCACUAUGUAAACCAAAGAAAAGACGUCGAGUCUGUUGGAUUUAUCGUCGACUAGUAAACAAUUUAAAACCCAAGUCGAAGUGUGAUGCGUCCUCACGUAUAAGAAGACGAACAUUCAAGAUUAUUAUCUACCCACCAAAACGAUUAGUCAAGUUUCGAGUUUAUUGUUUUAAGGAGCGACCUAACAUAGCAAGAAAAAAUAACAAAAAAAAGAACUAACUAUAGUCGGUGAGGUUCAGGAAAAUAGGUCGGUACUAUCUCUAGGUAAGUUUAGUCAACAAGAUACAAAUGUGUAAGUCUAUAUGAUCAACCAGACGACUUUCUAUGCUAUACACAUGACAACUAUUAGAGUUUGUACAAAAUGAGUUGAAAUCUUUUGUACAUUAUAACAACACGACGAAACGUUACAGAGGUCGUCAGGAUGAAGAGGUACUACUGUUCCUGCUACAGCGGUACGCACGUACGAGAGGAAAGAAAGAGGAAGGCUCUGCCACUCCUCGAGGUCGUGGCGGCCGCGGCGGUACGUACGUACUAGGAUCACGGCGUGGCGGCCGCGGGUUGGGGAGGCGGGCGCUCGAUCCCAUGAUCCUGCGGGAGGAGUGGCGCCACAGGAACGACCGGCAGUCGCCACCUUCGCCCCACCGUCGGCCCUGGAACAGCACGAGCAGAGGCUGAUGACAGUUCCGGCACCUAAUGCGGGUUGUGUAACAAGGCGUUACUCGGUCCUGUCUCCAACGACCUAUGACAGCACGUGCGGCACUAGUUGGCACCGGUAACCGGUGGGGAAGCCAGUCAACAGAAAGGAACUAAACCAGAUAACUUUUAACUUAACAACUUAAAACUUGACUUGGCAACUUUUCAACGAAUACUUGGACUGGAAGACAAACUUAACUUGCCAACUUGACUACUUGAUGAUGGAGACUAGAACUUGACAACCUUACCUUUACAACUUAAACCAGCCCUGAAAUGACCCCUGUUUCAUAACAAAUCAAAGAUUAAAAUGUUUCUAGUACACGUUUUAUGAACUAUAUGUAUAUGUUUUCUUGACAUAUUUUCUAGUACCCACCCAAACGACUUCUGUACACAAGCACACAUAUAAAAAUUCGAGCCUCAUGAUAUAAUAUAAAUGCAUAGGAAGUUCUAUCACCUUGAAGAUUCCUUUAUCACACGAAAACAAACACAGGUAUAGUAUAGGGUCUAUCUGUAAUCAGAACAAGUAGUCAAGUAUCUAUUCGUGUAGAUAGUCGAGCCACACACAAGAUCUUUAUUAAGUCUAAAUAACCAAGUAUUUUAUUCGUGUUUUGACAAGAGCACGUACAUAAACAAAUGAAAGAAAAACUCUUUCAUGAACAAAUGAAAGAACAAACCUUUUAGCAAGUACCCACUACCAAGUAGCCUUGCCGGGUAUGAGAACGAGUGCCGGACCUAGACCGUAAACGGCAGCGGGACACGAAUUGGUCUCAGGGGCAGGAGGGGUAAGAGGUGACGUUGUUCGUCGACGAGACAGGACGAGCGUAGAAGACGAUGCACCACUGCGGAGAAACAUAAUUAACGUGUGUAGACUACACAAGAAUAUCAAUCUGUAAUCUACCUAGAAACGUAGCGUCUAGAAACGCGAUCCAACAAGAAUAAAUCAAACAAUCGUAGAAGGAGGAUAAAAAGAGUAACUAGUAAACCUUGUGCCGGACGAUAGUUCACAAAGAGAAUGUUAAAACAACAACUAAGAACCUGUGUCAUAUGAAAGAGCAUACAAAGUAAUUUAUCUCGUGUAGAUUUGGAUUCAGUCGUGAGUCAUUACAGUUAAAACACUACGUAGAAGAAAGGAACUUCUAGACGUCCUCAAAGCCGGUUCUUGGUAACAACCGGUCGUUCCACAGCGGAGUAAAAACACGUUGUUGCCGGUAACUCGAGCCAUUCGGAACGUGCUUGUCCGAAGUGUUACUACUUACGUACUUCUAGAAAGGUCCAGGACCGCUGACACUAUUUCCGUUCACGAAUACACCAAAAACGACUUCUUCUUACCGGAUCGAAUGGACCGCAUCGUCAUGAGUUUCAGUUCACAGCUACAACACCUUCGAAACUUUGAAAGGGAUCAACGAACUGAUGUUAUUGAUACGGAAAACUCUAACAUGGUAAACCAGUAGAGAACCGAAACAUAGCUUGAAGAUCAGUAGUACAAUGUUGACAAGCUACUUCUUUUAUGUAGUCAAUUUUUCGUAAGUCCACGAUUAUGACAUCGCUAGAGCAAGUGUCGGCGUUU